Quercus robur (English oak) is the source of this 1381-nucleotide long non-coding RNA. RefSeq lists it as uncharacterized. NCBI's taxonomy places the organism in Eukaryota, Viridiplantae, Streptophyta, Magnoliopsida, Fagales, Fagaceae. The record is from RefSeq and is a predicted model, not a curated record. The transcript is spliced from 6 exons.
GUGCGUUUGGAAAAAACGAAAAAAAAGAAUGAUUCACUUUGUUAAAACACUGUUUGGGAGCCUCUUGGUGUAAAAGGAAACUAACCGCUUAAAACACAAAAAAGAAAAGAAAAGAAACUAAAGAUUGCUUCACGGAGAAAGGAGAGAGAGAGAAAAGAGAGAGGCAGAGAGAGUUCUCCGUUCCCUCGCCAGACUUAGAGCACCGGUGCAAGUAGAAAGAAAAAUCAAUGGGCAUCAACACCGCUAGGCUAUAUAUCUGCCACAAUCAGAUCGUCGGAACCGGAUCCAGGAAACACCAUAGAAGAUCAAAUUCUACCUAGGCUUUGUCUCUCAGCGUUCUGAGGAAUACUGCAAUUGGGGGAGGUGGUGGAGAUAUUGGAAAGAAAAUAAAUCAUGUUGGUGGUGAUGUCAAUGGCGAUGAAGAUGAUUACUUUGAUGACUUUGAUGAUGGCAAUGAAGGGGAUGGAGGAGGCCUAUUUAGGAGACACAAAUUUCUUGAGGAGCUUUUUGGUCAUAAAUUCGUAGAUGAAGUGUCAAAUGAAUGGCAGGGGACAAUGAUGGAUUUGCCUGUUGGAUUCCAAAAAGCUUAUGAUAUGAAUCUAUAGCAAUGUAUAGAUCUUCUGAAGUUGGAUAUGUGACUAUUAUGUACCUCUCGACAAGGUAAUGGGUUGUUGCUGGUAGUGAUGGUGGUCAUGGCCUUACCCUUCAUGGAUGUGUUUUUCUAUUUAUUGUGUGUUUGUUAUUCUUUGGGUUGCUGUUGUAUUUUGGUAAUUAAUGUUAUUGCUUGAGUAUUAAUAAUAAAUACCAUCACUAUAACUGGAAGUAUCUCCUAUCACUAUCACUAUCACUAUAUAUAUAUAUAUAUAUAUAUUUUUAGAUAAGCUUUAGCUUUGGGGAAAUUUUUGUCUAUUAAUAUAUUUGUCCAACCUGGUAAAUGCUAUGCUUAUGUCUUUUGGAGAUUAAUAUAUGCUUUUUGGGGAUAUUUAGAUUUGCUUAAGAAUUCUAAAUCAUGGUUACUAUUUACCUAUGUCAUAACAUGCAUGCCACCAAUUAAUUAAUUCACAAAUUUAGAAGACUAAUACCUUAUUCACAAUGAUGUGAUCUUUUGCCCAUAUUUGUUAAAUAAGUGAUUGUGUUCUAAUUCUUAACCAAAAUUAUUUGACCCAUGAAAAUUAAGGCUAUUUUAGUUCUCUUUGUGUUUCAGAUCUAAAUGAAGCUACAAGAAAGUUAAUUUGGAAGACAGUAUAUGACAAGGCUUUGCAUCUUCUACGUUUAUAGAUAUGGUCUUUUUCAAAUUUCAAUUUCCGUUGAUUGAUAUGGAUUAAAAUUCAGAUUGAAAUUGGUUUAAAUAGAAUAGAGCCUCAAAGUUGAGCUUUUAUUA